Molecule: long non-coding RNA, 576 nt
Organism: Gymnodraco acuticeps
Lineage: Eukaryota; Metazoa; Chordata; Actinopteri; Perciformes; Bathydraconidae
Exons: 5
Source: RefSeq, a predicted model, not a curated record
CACUCAAAAAAACGAUUCAAGCCCUUCUUAGACUUGACACAUUAAUAAUUGUUUCACUUUACUUAAAUAUUUUUAUUUAAGAAAUAAACCUAAGUAUAGUUCAUUAGUGUAACACAAAUUACAUUAAUCAAUUCACUUAUUAAAUGUAUUUAAGACAGAGCAACUCAAAAUGAAUUGUUUUCAUUUGGGACCGCCCCUUUGCACAUCACCUUUGCGCAUGCACAAGAUCCGUUCUGUCAUUUGCCGCCUUUUGUCUAACACUGACGGUGUGAAACUGACGGUGGAAAGUCUAUUAUUUGUUUGAUCAGCAUUAACAAGCAUCUUGGGGCAACCUCUUAUUUAUGGUUAUGCAUGUGGCAGUGCAAACACUGCAGUUUGGAACUAGCUAGCAGGUGAAUGCGGAGUUUUUGAGGAUCACAACAUCACCACUUCAAUCAAAGUUCAUGUGGCAGCUGGACCACUUCUCAGACAAGCUCUUGAAGAUCUUCAAGACCAAAGGAGGAGUGAAGGGGCACAAAAUCAAGGAAGCCCUUGCAAUAUCAGAUUCGUUUGAAAACAUCCACAUCAAGAGGGGGG